RNAcentral lists this ribosomal RNA (200 nucleotides) under uncultured bacterium. Its description in RNAcentral is "partial 16S ribosomal RNA". It matches the Rfam family "Bacterial small subunit ribosomal RNA", at positions 30 to 238 of the family's 1533-position model. The record is from RNAcentral.
AUUGAACGCUGGCGGCAGGCCUAACACAUGCAAGUCGAGCGAACCUAGCUUGCUAGGUGAGCGGUGAACGGGUGAGUAACGCGUAGGAAUCUGCCUGGUAGUGGGGGACAACGUUCCGAAAGGAACGCUAAUACCGCAUACGCCCUAAGGGGGAAAGUGGGGGAUCUUCGGACCUCACGCUAUCAGAGGAGCCUGCGUCG